GACGGGUGAGUAACGCGUGGGUAACCUGCCUUAUACAGGGGGAGUAACAGUCAGAAAUGGCUGCUAAUACCGCAUAAGCGCACAGUGCUGCAUGGCUCGGUGUGAAAAACUACCGGUGGUAUAAGAUGGACCCGCGUUGGAUUAGCUUGUUGGUGGGGUAACGGCCCACCGAGGCGACGAUCCAUAGCCGGCCUGAGAGGGUGAACGGCCACAUUGGGACUGAGACACGGCCCAGACUCCUACGGGAGGCAGCAUG
Molecule: ribosomal RNA, 256 nt
Filed under: uncultured bacterium
Lineage: Bacteria
Description: partial 16S ribosomal RNA
Rfam family: Bacterial small subunit ribosomal RNA
Source: RNAcentral